This 842-nucleotide ribosomal RNA is filed under the name Bacillus sp. C4(2014). RNAcentral describes it as "bacterial SSU rRNA". It matches the Rfam family "Bacterial small subunit ribosomal RNA", at positions 62 to 885 of the family's 1533-position model. Lineage: Bacteria; Bacillati; Bacillota; Bacilli; Caryophanales; Bacillaceae. The record is from RNAcentral.
UCGAGCGGACAGAUGGGAGCUUGCUCCCUGAUGUUAGCGGCGGACGGGUGAGUAACACGUGGGUAACCUGCCUGUAAGACUGGGAUAACUCCGGGAAACCGGGGCUAAUACCGGAUGGUUGUCUGAACCGCAUGGUUCAGACAUAAAAGGUGGCUUCGGCUACCACUUACAGAUGGACCCGCGGCGCAUUAGCUAGUUGGUGAGGUAACGGCUCACCAAGGCGACGAUGCGUAGCCGACCUGAGAGGGUGAUCGGCCACACUGGGACUGAGACACGGCCCAGACUCCUACGGGAGGCAGCAGUAGGGAAUCUUCCGCAAUGGACGAAAGUCUGACGGAGCAACGCCGCGUGAGUGAUGAAGGUUUUCGGAUCGUAAAGCUCUGUUGUUAGGGAAGAACAAGUGCCGUUCAAAUAGGGCGGCACCUUGACGGUACCUAACCAGAAAGCCACGGCUAACUACGUGCCAGCAGCCGCGGUAAUACGUAGGUGGCAAGCGUUGUCCGGAAUUAUUGGGCGUAAAGGGCUCGCAGGCGGUUUCUUAAGUCUGAUGUGAAAGCCCCCGGCUCAACCGGGGAGGGUCAUUGGAAACUGGGGAACUUGAGUGCAGAAGAGGAGAGUGGAAUUCCACGUGUAGCGGUGAAAUGCGUAGAGAUGUGGAGGAACACCAGUGGCGAAGGCGACUCUCUGGUCUGUAACUGACGCUGAGGAGCGAAAGCGUGGGGAGCGAACAGGAUUAGAUACCCUGGUAGUCCACGCCGUAAACGAUGAGUGCUAAGUGUUAGGGGGUUUCCGCCCCUUAGUGCUGCAGCUAACGCAUUAAGCACUCCGCCUGGGGAGUACGG